UACAGAGGGUGCAAGCGUUAAUCGGAUUUACUGGGCGUAAAGCGCGCGUAGGCGGCUAAUUAAGUCAAAUGUGAAAUCCCCGAGCUUAACUUGGGAAUUGCAUUCGAUACUGGUUAGCUAGAGUGUGGGAGAGGAUGGUAGAAUUCCAGGUGUAGCGGUGAAAUGCGUAGAGAUCUGGAGGAAUACCGAUGGCGAAGGCAGCCAUUUGGCCUAACACUGACGCUGAGGUGCGAAAGCAUGGGGAGCAAACAGGAUUAGAAACCCUGGUAGUCC
RNAcentral lists this ribosomal RNA (273 nucleotides) under uncultured Acinetobacter sp. RNAcentral's name for it is "partial 16S ribosomal RNA". It matches the Rfam family "Bacterial small subunit ribosomal RNA", at positions 524 to 796 of the family's 1533-position model. The record is from RNAcentral. Lineage: Bacteria; Pseudomonadati; Pseudomonadota; Gammaproteobacteria; Moraxellales; Moraxellaceae.